This is a long non-coding RNA of Cercocebus atys (sooty mangabey), 377 nucleotides long. RefSeq lists it as uncharacterized. The transcript has 2 exons. Lineage: Eukaryota; Metazoa; Chordata; Mammalia; Primates; Cercopithecidae. The record is from RefSeq and is a predicted model, not a curated record.
ACACACACACACACACACACAGAGAGACAUGUACAUAAAUCGUUUAGAUUAUUAGGGAAAAUAUGAGUGUUUAUUUUUUCUCAUUUUUGCUUUCUUUGCCACUUCUCAUUCCAUCCUGUUACUAAAUCAUUCAGGGCGGUUUUCCUGAGGACAGCUCAAAAGAAAGGAAUCUUGUAUCCUGGGAAAGCCAAACUCAACCUCAAGUGCAGGUGCAGGAUGAAGAAAUUACAGAGGAUGACCUCCGCCUUAUUCAUGAGAGAGAAUCUUCUAUCAGGCAACUUGAAGUAAGGCUUACAUUGUAGACUUGGGCUGCUACUCUGUUCUUAGUGAGUUUGUUCUCAAAAUGCUUAGGUAAUGCUGGGAGAGCGUACGAGAAA